RNAcentral lists this transfer RNA (71 nucleotides) under Acidobacteriota bacterium. Its description in RNAcentral is "Acidobacteria bacterium tRNA-Gln". It matches the Rfam family "tRNA". Rfam says of the family: Transfer RNA (tRNA) molecules are approximately 80 nucleotides in length. Their secondary structure includes four short double-helical elements and three loops (D, anti-codon, and T loops). Further hydrogen bonds mediate the characteristic L-shaped molecular structure. tRNAs have two regions of fundamental functional importance: the anti-codon, which is responsible for specific mRNA codon recognition, and the 3' end, to which the tRNAs corresponding amino acid is attached (by aminoacyl-tRNA synthetases). tRNAs cope with the degeneracy of the genetic code in two manners: having more than one tRNA (with a specific anti-codon) for a particular amino acid; and 'wobble' base-pairing, i.e. permitting non-standard base-pairing at the 3rd anti-codon position. The record is from RNAcentral. Lineage: Bacteria; Pseudomonadati; Acidobacteriota.
UCCGGGAUCGUCUAACGGUAGGACACAUGCCUCUGGAGCAUGUUAUCGGGGUUCGAAUCCCUGUCCCGGAA